Jatropha curcas is the source of this 467-nucleotide non-coding RNA. Lineage: Eukaryota; Viridiplantae; Streptophyta; Magnoliopsida; Malpighiales; Euphorbiaceae. The record is from RefSeq and is a predicted model, not a curated record.
CAUCAACAAUGCAAAUGUUUUUUUUUUACAAGGGAGAAAAUCAAUAAAAUAAGUAGAAACUGAACUGCAAACAACAAAUACUGCAAAUAAGCAAGACUAACCAUGAAAAAAGCCAUAGAAAUAGUCAAAAUUCAACAACCAACAAGAUGAAUAACAAGGGCAAAAUUUCUUGCAAUGCAAAAUAGAAUAAAAGCAAAUUCAGCUCUUUCUCUCUCUCUCUCUCUCUCUCUAAAGAAGAAUUUCAGAAAAAAUUGGAGGAAGGAGAGAUUUCCACCUUGUCCACAUUGCAAAAAAACAAACCACACUGAGAACUACUGCUGGUUCAGACCUGGAGCUCAAUGUAAGGUUUGUAAGCAAUUUGGUCACACCGAGAAAGUUUGUUCUACAAACCAGAAUCAACAAACACAAGCCCAUCAUGCACAAGUCACCAAAAAUUCUGAAAACUCUGAAGAACAACUAUUUGCUGC